GGGCGGAUGGCCGAGUGGUCUAAGGCGUUACGUUUAGGCCGUAAUCUCUUCGGAGGCGAGGGUUCGAAUCCCUCUUCGCUCA
RNAcentral lists this transfer RNA (82 nucleotides) under Dispira parvispora. It matches the Rfam family "tRNA". From Rfam's summary of the family: Transfer RNA (tRNA) molecules are approximately 80 nucleotides in length. Their secondary structure includes four short double-helical elements and three loops (D, anti-codon, and T loops). Further hydrogen bonds mediate the characteristic L-shaped molecular structure. tRNAs have two regions of fundamental functional importance: the anti-codon, which is responsible for specific mRNA codon recognition, and the 3' end, to which the tRNAs corresponding amino acid is attached (by aminoacyl-tRNA synthetases). tRNAs cope with the degeneracy of the genetic code in two manners: having more than one tRNA (with a specific anti-codon) for a particular amino acid; and 'wobble' base-pairing, i.e. permitting non-standard base-pairing at the 3rd anti-codon position. The record is from Rfam by way of RNAcentral. Lineage: Eukaryota; Fungi; Kickxellomycota; Dimargaritomycetes; Dimargaritales; Dimargaritaceae.